CAGCAGCCACGGUAAUACAGAGGGUGCGAGCGUUAAUCGGAUUUACUGGGCGUAAAGCAUGCGUAGGCGGCUUUUUAAGUCGGAUGUGAAAUCCCUGAGCUUAACUUAGGAAUUGCAUUCGAUACUGGGAAGCUAGAGUAUGGGAGAGGAUGGUAAAAUUCCAGGUGUAGCGGUGAAAUGCGUAGAGAUCUGGAGGAAUACCGAUGGCGAAGGCAGCCAUCUGGCCUAAUACUGACGCUGAGGUACGAAAGCAUGGGGAGCAAACAGGAUUAGAUACCCGUGUAGUCCCUGUCUCUUAUAC
Molecule: ribosomal RNA, 301 nt
Filed under: uncultured bacterium
Lineage: Bacteria
Description: partial 16S ribosomal RNA
Rfam family: Bacterial small subunit ribosomal RNA
Source: RNAcentral